Molecule: long non-coding RNA, 1585 nt
Filed under: Mus pahari (shrew mouse)
Lineage: Eukaryota; Metazoa; Chordata; Mammalia; Rodentia; Muridae
Description: lncRNA (MGP_PahariEiJ_G0003633.1)
Source: RNAcentral
UUAAAUGUGACAGCACUGCCAGCAGGUACCUGUGGCCGCCUAAAGCACCACCCAGCUUCUUCUCUUGUGAGGUGGUGCGCCUGCCUUCGCUAUGCCCUCAGGCAGGACGGGCACUGCCUGCUUUCUCCUCUCUACAGUGGCAAGUGUCUUAGGAAGAGCAGCUCUCCUGCUCCAGACAGGCCCAGCCUGGUGGGCCUGAGGGUAGCAGACCCCGGUACAUGAGUCUCGAUAUUGCUCUUUCUUACUGGGUAAGUCUGAGCUCUGAGAACUUCCGGACACUCAAGAGACCAGCUGGUCUGUUCCAAACCCGGUGAGGAGGCUGGUGAGGGUCACACUCAGGGCAGGCUGCCCAGGCCAAGUUGCUGAGCCACAGGGAGGUUCUGCAGAUGAUGGUCUCCAUAAAGCAGGCACUUGUGGCUGCCUGAAGCGCUAGGUGACCCCAUUCUUCCUGAUGCUGAAGAAGACGUCACACAUCCACUUCCUGGAAUCCAGAAGCCUUUGUUUCCUCCUCGGACAGAGGAAGUCUCAGUGGGUACCAAGUUCAUCUGACGUUUCCAGCCUUUGUCCUCUGACUGGGAUUCAGCUAUGUGUUCCUGGCCUGGCAGCAAUCCUCCUGUCUCAGCCUUCUGACCAUUAAGAUUACAGGUUUGAGCCACCACACCACCUUUCAAAGCACGACUCUCCAGUGUGCUGUCCUGGCUUGGCAGUUCUUUCAACUAUCCUGGGUAGAUGACUAUAUGUGCCAAUCUGAUGUCCCCAGCGAUCCUGUGCUCCAGAUAAGCACAAGCCAUUGGUCUGACUGGAGACCACUACUUUCUCAGCUCCUAUAAAUACCCUGAUGAUGUACCUUCAGGAACAGACAUUAGAAUCCCUGGCAGAGUUGUUCAAGUCCCCCCCCCAACCUAUUUCUGUAUAGGAACCUACACAAUAACUAUAUAAGAUCCCAGUUCAAAUGGAAUUAAAGCCAUAUUUCAACAACACUGAGAAGAAGAGUUCAUGAAAACCUAGAAGAGCUUUUAGUUCCUGAGAUGUGUCCUAUGUAUCAGGCAAGCCUACUUAUAAGCUCAUUGCAGGUAACUUUUGGUGGCAAGUCACUCCAUCUACCAGAGAUGCUGCCUGGAUUCUUCCUGUUCUUCACACAGCAGAACUAGAUAUUAUCAAGAUACUACUGGGUCCUUUUUGGCUUUGGCCUGAAGGUGGCUCUUACAUUCACUUGAACACUAUGUUUUGCUGAAACCUUACAUGUUUUCUCCAUGAGCCUUCCCAUGUCUUCCUGCCUCUUCUUAGACAUGACAGAGAGGGAAACAAGUUGCUUUUUUAGGCUUCAAAAGAUUGCCGAACUGUAUUUUUGUUGUUGUUGUUCCAUUUUCAAUAACUCAAAACUCUUUGAGAUCCAUUACAUCAACCUUGGCAAGUAGGUAGAGCAAGCAAAUCAGGCUCCCCUAGUUUGGAACCAAAAUGAGGAUCAUCCACACACCCUCUUUCUAUCUUUAUCAGGACUAUAUUUUUUCCUUUUAGCUAGAUGAUGUAUACUUUUAACAUUCCAGGAUAAAGGUGUCUGUGAUAUGAAAGUCAUAGUAAACGA